CCUCCCACUCUUCUCUGGACGCUGCGUUCUGAUCGAUCACCGAGUUCAAGGCAAAGGUUUAAUAAAAAAUGGUUCAAGAUGCGGAUCGUACAAAUUUCUCUCGCACUUUCAAGUACUUAAUGGCGAUGCAGUUCUCAGCUAGGGGAAUCCCAUUUGUAGUCAAUACAUGGAUGGUGAGGCACAUUACUGUAGAGGACUAUGCGGUAAC
This is a long non-coding RNA of Vitis riparia (riverbank grape), 208 nucleotides long. RefSeq lists it as uncharacterized. The record is from RefSeq and is a predicted model, not a curated record. Lineage: Eukaryota; Viridiplantae; Streptophyta; Magnoliopsida; Vitales; Vitaceae. The transcript has 3 exons.